RNAcentral lists this ribosomal RNA (1256 nucleotides) under Salmonella enterica. RNAcentral describes it as "partial 23S ribosomal RNA". It matches the Rfam family "Bacterial large subunit ribosomal RNA", at positions 1 to 1287 of the family's 2925-position model. The record is from RNAcentral. Lineage: Bacteria; Pseudomonadati; Pseudomonadota; Gammaproteobacteria; Enterobacterales; Enterobacteriaceae.
GGGUUGUGAGGUUAAGCGACUAAGCGUACACGGUGGAUGCCCUGGCAGUCAGAGGCGAUGAAGGGCGUGCUAAUCUGCGAUAAGCGCCGGUAAGGUGAUAUGAACCGUUAUAACCGGCGAUACCCGAAUGGGGAAACCCAGUGUGAUUCGUCACACUAUCAUUAACUGAAUCCAUAGGUUAAUGAGGCGAACCGGGGGAACUGAAACAUCUAAGUACCCCGAGGAAAAGAAAUCAACCGAGAUUCCCCCAGUAGCGGCGAGCGAACGGGGAGGAGCCCAGAGCCUGAAUCAGCAUGUGUGUUAGUGGAAGCGUCUGGAAAGGCGCGCGAUACAGGGUGACAGCCCCGUACACAAAAGCGUAUGUGCUGUGAGCUCGAUGAGUAGGGCGGGACACGUGGUAUCCUGUCUGAAUAUGGGGGGACCAUCCUCCAAGGCUAAAUACUCCUGACUGACCGAUAGUGAACCAGUACCGUGAGGGAAAGGCGAAAAGAACCCCGGCGAGGGGAGUGAAAAAGAACCUGAAACCGUGUACGUACAAGCAGUGGGAGCACCCUUUGGGGUGUGACUGCGUACCUUUUGUAUAAUGGGUCAGCGACUUAUAUUCUGUAGCAAGGUUAACCGAAUAGGGGAGCCGGAGGGAAACCGAGUCUUAAUUGGGCGUUAAGUUGCAGGGUAUAGACCCGAAACCCGGUGAUCUAGCCAUGGGCAGGUUGAAGGUUGGGUAACACUAACUGGAGGACCGAACCGACUAAUGUUGAAAAAUUAGCGGAUGACCUGUGGCUGGGGGUGAAAGGCCAAUCAAACCGGGAGAUAGCUGGUUCUCCCCGAAAGCUAUUUAGGUAGCGCCUCGUGAAUUCAUCUCCGGGGGUAGAGCACUGUUUCGGCUAGGGGGUCAUCCCGACUUACCAACCCGAUGCAAACUGCGAAUACCGGAGAAUGUUAUCACGGGAGACACACGGCGGGUGCUAACGUCCGUCGUGAAGAGGGAAACAACCCAGACCGCCAGCUAAGGUCCCAAAGUCAUGGUUAAGUGGGAAACGAUGUGGGAAGGCACAGACAGCCAGGAUGUUGGCUUAGAAGCAGCCAUCAUUUAAAGAAAGCGUAAUAGCUCACUGGUCGAGUCGGCCUGCGCGGAAGAUGUAACGGGGCUAAACCAUGCACCGAAGCUGCGGCAGCGACACUCAGGUGUUGUUGGGUAGGGGAGCGUUCUGUAAGCCUGUGAAGGUGGCCUGUGAGGGUUGCUGGAGGUAUCAGAA